UCAAUAAGCGGAGGAAAAGAAACUAACAAGGAUUCCCCUAGUAGCGGCGAGCGAAGCGGGAAGAGCUCAAAUUUGUAAUCUGGCACCUUCGGUGUCCGAGUUGUAAUCUCGAGAAGUGUUUUCCGCGCCAGACCGCAUACAAGUCUGUUGGAAUACAGCGUCAUAGUGGUGAGAACCCCGUAUAUGAUGCGGAUGCCUGGUGCUCUGUGAUACACUUUCGAAGAGUCGAGUUGUUUGGGAAUGCAGCUCAAAUUGGGUGGUAAAUUCCAUCUAAAGCUAAAUAUUGGCGAGAGACCGAUAGCGAACAAGUACCGUGAGGGAAAGAUGAAAAGCACUUUGGAAAGAGAGUUAACAGUACGUGAAAUUGUUGGAAGGGAAACGCUUGAAGUCAGACUUGCUAUUUGGAAUUCAGCCGCAAGGUGUAUUUUUCAAUUUGCAGGCCAGCAUCAGUUUUCGGGGGUGGAAAAGGAUUAGGAGAAGGUAGCAGUUUCGGCUGUGUUAUAGCUCUUAAUUGGAUUCAUCCCUGGGGACUGAGGAACGCAGCUUCGGCUUAGGAUGCUGGUGGAAUGGCUGGAAACGACCCGUCUUGAAACAC
RNAcentral lists this ribosomal RNA (595 nucleotides) under Pseudohyphozyma bogoriensis. Its description in RNAcentral is "LSU rRNA". It matches the Rfam family "Eukaryotic large subunit ribosomal RNA", at positions 43 to 662 of the family's 3401-position model. Lineage: Eukaryota; Fungi; Basidiomycota; Microbotryomycetes; Chrysozymaceae. The record is from RNAcentral.